This 470-nucleotide ribosomal RNA is filed under the name uncultured Pseudomonadota bacterium. RNAcentral's name for it is "bacterial SSU rRNA". It matches the Rfam family "Bacterial small subunit ribosomal RNA", at positions 355 to 817 of the family's 1533-position model. Lineage: Bacteria; Pseudomonadati; Pseudomonadota. The record is from RNAcentral.
UGGGGAAUAUUGGACAAUGGGGGCAACCCUGAUCCAGCGAUGCCGCGUGAGUGAAGAAGGCCUUCGGGUCGUAAAGCUCUUUAGGUUGGGAAGAAGGUGUGAUGGGGAUAAUCUAUCAUGCUUGACGGUACCGACAGAAUAAGCACCGGCAAACUCUGUGCCAGCAGCCGCGGUAAUACAGAGGGUGCAAGCGUUAAUCGGAGUUACUGGGCGUAAAGGGCGCGUAGGCGGUGAGAUGUGUGUGAUGUGAAAGCCCCGGGCUUAACCUGGGAAGUGCAUCGCAAACUAUCUGACUGGAGUAUAUGAGAGGGUGGCGGAAUUUCCGGUGUAGCGGUGAAAUGCGUAGAGAUCGGAAGGACGUCAAUGGCGAAGGCAGCCACCUGGCAUAAUACUGACGCUGAGGCGCGAAAGCGUGGGGAGCGAACAGGAUUAGAUACCCUGGUAGUCCCACGCUGUAAACGAUGAGGACU